Molecule: ribosomal RNA, 465 nt
Filed under: Vreelandella stevensii
Lineage: Bacteria; Pseudomonadati; Pseudomonadota; Gammaproteobacteria; Oceanospirillales; Halomonadaceae
Description: partial 16S ribosomal RNA
Rfam family: Bacterial small subunit ribosomal RNA
Source: RNAcentral
CCUACAGGGUGCAGCAGUGGGGAAUAUUGGACAAUGGGCGAAAGCCUGAUCCAGCCAUGCCGCGUGUGUGAAGAAGGCCUUCGGGUUGUAAAGCACUUUCAGUGGGGAAGAAAGCCUUGGGGCUAAUACCCUCGAGGAAGGACAUCACCCACAGAAGAAGCACCGGCUAACUCCGUGCCAGCAGCCGCGGUAAUACGGAGGGUGCGAGCGUUAAUCGGAAUUACUGGGCGUAAAGCGCGCGUAGGCGGUCUGAUAAGCCGGUUGUGAAAGCCCCGGGCUCAACCUGGGAACGGCAUCCGGAACUGUCAGGCUAGAGUGCAGGAGAGGAAGGUAGAAUUCCCGGUGUAGCGGUGAAAUGCGUAGAGAUCGGGAGGAAUAACAGUGGCGAAGGCGGCCUUCUGGACUGACACUGACGCUGAGGUGCGAAAGCGUGGGUAGCAAACAGGAUUAGAUACCCUAGUAGUC